RNAcentral lists this transfer RNA (64 nucleotides) under Cavia porcellus (domestic guinea pig). It matches the Rfam family "tRNA". Rfam says of the family: Transfer RNA (tRNA) molecules are approximately 80 nucleotides in length. Lineage: Eukaryota; Metazoa; Chordata; Mammalia; Rodentia; Caviidae. The record is from Rfam by way of RNAcentral.
GGAGAUUUAGCUCAGCGGCAUGAGCACCUGCCUUGCAAGCAGGCAGUCCUGAGUUCAACCUCCA